AGCGAACGCUGGCGGCAGGCCUAACACAUGCAAGUCGAACGAACUCUUCGGAGUUAGUGGCGGACGGGUGAGUAACACGUGGGAACGUGCCUUUAGGUUCGGAAUAACUCAGGGAAACUUGUGCUAAUACCGAAUGUGCCCUUCGGGGGAAAGAUUUAUCGCCUUUAGAGCGGCCCGCGUCUGAUUAGCUAGUUGGUGAGGUAAAGGCUCACCAAGGCGACGAUCACUAGCUGGUCUGAGAGGAUGAUCAGCCACAUUGGGACUGAGACACGCCCCAAACUCCUACGGGAAGCAGCAGUGGGGAAUCUUGCGCAAUGGGCGAAAGCCUGACGCAGCCAUGCCGCGUGAAUGAUGAAGGUCUUAGGAUUGUAAAAUUCUUUCACCGGGGACGAUAAUGACGGUACCCGGAGAAGAAGCCCCGGCUAACUUCGUG
This 433-nucleotide ribosomal RNA is filed under the name uncultured bacterium. RNAcentral describes it as "partial 16S ribosomal RNA". It matches the Rfam family "Bacterial small subunit ribosomal RNA", at positions 29 to 507 of the family's 1533-position model. The record is from RNAcentral.